This 175-nucleotide small nucleolar RNA is filed under the name Prunus dulcis (almond). Its description in RNAcentral is "sRNA ncRNA". The record is from RNAcentral. Lineage: Eukaryota; Viridiplantae; Streptophyta; Magnoliopsida; Rosales; Rosaceae.
GAGUGAGGAUAAGAUUGAGAGAGAGGAUGAGAGGGAGUAGUAACAAAAGUGAAAACAAAAUCUUGAAAGUGAAAACAAUUUGAAAUAGAUUUCAAUUUUUAUUUUAUUUUCACUUUUGUUACCCCUCUUUUCCAUCCUUUCCUCUCAUCUUCCCUCUCAAUCUCAUCUUCACUCU